GACGAACGCUGGCGGCGUGCCUAAUACAUGCAAGUAGAACGCUGAAGGAGGAGCUUGCUUCUCCGGAUGAGUUGCGAACGGGUGAGUAACGCGUAGGUAACCUGCCUGGUAGCGGGGGAUAACUAUUGGAAACGAUAGCUAAUACCGCAUAAGAGUAGAUGUCGCAUGACAUUUGCUUAAAAGGUGCAACUGCACCACUACCAGAUGGACCUGCGUUGUAUUAGCUAGUUGGUGAGGUAACGGCUCACCAAGGCAACGAUACAUAGCCGACCUGAGAGGGUGAUCGGCCACACUGGGACUGAGACCCGGCCCAGACUCCUACGGGAGGCAGCAGUAGGGAAUCUUCGGCAAUGGACGGAAGUCUGACCGAGCAACGCCGCGUGAGUGAAGAAGGUUUUCGGAUCGUAAAGCUCUGUUGUAAGAGAAGAACGAGUGUGAGAGUGGAAAGUUCACACUGUGACGGUAUCUUACCAGAAAGGGACGGCUAACUACGUG
Molecule: ribosomal RNA, 495 nt
Filed under: uncultured bacterium
Lineage: Bacteria
Description: partial 16S ribosomal RNA
Rfam family: Bacterial small subunit ribosomal RNA
Source: RNAcentral